GCUUCAAAAGUUUCAUUUUAUUCAAAGAGUGCUUUCCCGGGAGUAGUUGGUUGCAUCUACGGGACUCAUGUUCGCAUAAUUUCAACAAGAAAAGAAGAUCUUAACAGAAAGGGCUACUACGGUUUAAACGCGAUGAUUGUACAUAUCUUUGUGAUUAUAAGAUGUCUAUUCGGUAUGUGGAUGCUAGGCAUGCAGGCGCAAAUCAUGACUCUUUUGUUUUCAAUAUUAGCGAUUUGAAAGUGCAUUUACAGAACAACAUACAGAAUAACACUUGGAUCUUGGGCGACGCUGGCUAUCCUCUGCACAAAUUUUUAAUGACGCCUUAUCGCUUGGCGGAAGCUUCUUCACCCCAAGCACGCUACAAUACAGUACACUCAAAGGCCCGGAAUAUUGUAGAGCGGACAAUUGGUGUACUCAAGAGGUGAUUUCGAUGUCUUUUAUCUGUACGAGGUUUACAUUACACUCCCGAAAAGCUACGCAAAUUGUGAAUGCUUUGUGCGCAUUACACAAUAUUUGCCAACACUUUCAAGUGGAAUCUCCAGAAGAAAUACCAUCUACUUCACAUACUACAAUGACCAAUGAUAUUUUGGACAUAGAAAGAGAAGAAGAGGAUACGGCUCGAAUAAUUCGCAAUAAUAUUAUGACUUCCCUCUAAAUAAUUAAAAUAUUAAAUUUCAUUUAUUAUUUCUAAUGUGCUAUUUAU
Bactrocera tryoni is the source of this 703-nucleotide long non-coding RNA. RefSeq lists it as uncharacterized. NCBI's taxonomy places the organism in Eukaryota, Metazoa, Arthropoda, Insecta, Diptera, Tephritidae. The transcript has 3 exons. The record is from RefSeq and is a predicted model, not a curated record.